RNAcentral lists this unclassified non-coding RNA (337 nucleotides) under soil metagenome. RNAcentral's name for it is "partial contains 5.8S ribosomal RNA, internal transcribed spacer 2, and large subunit ribosomal RNA". The stretch from base 1 to 120 matches the Rfam family "5.8S ribosomal RNA", at positions 35 to 154 of the family's 154-position model. The record is from RNAcentral.
GAUGAAGAACGUAGCGAAAUGCGAUAAGUAGUGUGAAUUGCAGAAUUCAGUGAAUCAUCGAAUCUUUGAACGCACAUUGCGCCCCUUGGUAUUCCAUGGGGCAUGCCUGUUCGAGCGCCAUUUGUACCUUCAAGCCUUGCUUGGUGUUGGGUGUUUGUCUCGCCUCUGCGCGCAGACUCGCCUCAAAACAAUUGGCAGCCGGCGUAUUGAUUUCGGAGCGCAGUACAUCUCGCGCUUUGCACUCAGAACGACGACGUCCAAAAGUACAUUUUUACACUCUUGACCUCGGAUCAGGUAGGGAUACCCGCUGAACUUAAGCAUAUCAAUAAGCGGAGGA